CGAUCUGAAGCCAUUCCGAAGUCUGCUAGUAAUCUGGAACGACACGAUUUAGAAACUCUUCUUCAGAUUCUCUCAAGCAAUUUAGAUGCUUCAGCACAAGAGCAGAUCUUAAUCACUCUCUGUAACAUCUCAGCAUUUUCCGUAAACCAUGAUAUAAUUCGGAAUUUAGAUGGUAUUCGUAUUAUUGGAGGGUUCCUUUCACACGCUGAUCCGAAAAUAAAAGCAGGUGCUCUUAAUGUACUCAACAACCUGAGCUUGAACCUACCAAAUCAGGAGCAAAUACAGGCUUUUAUAAAUGAAGUAUUAAAGGAUAUCACAGAGUGUUCGUUAAAUUCUGAAGUCCAGCUGGCUGGCCUGAGACUGGUGAUCAAUAUGUGAGUCACCAAUAAGUACCAUGAAAAGAUGGAAGAUUCAAUUCAAAAUCUACUCAA
Long non-coding RNA from Bufo bufo (common toad), 431 nucleotides. RefSeq lists it as uncharacterized. The record is from RefSeq and is a predicted model, not a curated record. Lineage: Eukaryota; Metazoa; Chordata; Amphibia; Anura; Bufonidae. The transcript is spliced from 3 exons.